This 1225-nucleotide long non-coding RNA is filed under the name Androctonus crassicauda. The record is from RNAcentral. Lineage: Eukaryota; Metazoa; Arthropoda; Arachnida; Scorpiones; Buthidae.
AAAUUAACAAAAUUAAAUUAUAAAUCAAAUUAUUUAAAAUGAUAAACAUUUUUUAGAUAUAAAUACAGAUCUCGAUCAAGAAGUCCUGAUCAAAGACGACGAGAUAAUCAUACUCGAUCUCGUGAUACAAAAUAUCGUAGACAGUCUAGAAGUAGAUCUCCAGAUAUUAGCAGUGAUAGAAGAAAAGGGAGUAGCAGAGAUCGUGAUAAAAGAAAACAUGAAGGAAGAGGCAGAGACAGUCCAGAAAAUGGAGAAAAUAGUCCAGAACUAUCUGAUGUAGAUUAUAAAGAGAAGACAGGUAAAGGUGAAAAUUAUGUAAAUAGGACUUCUAAAGAUGGAUCAGAAGGUGAAUCAGAUUAGUGACAUCUAAUUUGUGUCUAAAAGAUAUUCAGGUAAGUGGGAAAAUAUUGAUAUAAGAUUUUCUUCCAUCAUCAAUAUCUAUUCCUUUCAGGUGAGUGAUAUUGCUGAGCAUUUUGUUCCACUUCACUUAGGAACCUUUGUACCAGGUAUUAGAUUUAAUUGGUUUAUAGACAUUUGCAGGAAUUUGAUAUUCUUGGGAUAAAUUCUUUUUAAAUAUUAAAUUACUUCAAUUCAUUUGAAAGAAUUGAUUUUCCUGCAUGUAAUUGAUAAAUUGUUAAUGGUACAAAAGUUAAAAUAUAAUCAGUUAAUUUAUGUUGAAUAAUUUAAAAAUAAUUUCCCUAUUGUAUAGAUUGUACUUUUUUCUUUUUUUAAUAUAGAAUAUAUUCCAUGGUAUAGAUAUUUAUUAAAGGCAAAUUAUUAGUCAAAAAAUGAUGACAUUUUAAACCCCAGCACUUGAGUGUGCUUAAAUUUGCUUCUAUAUUGACAUUGAUCUCUAACUUUCCUGCUAUGUCUAGCUCAUAACCACAGAUUUUACUUUGAUCUUGGUGUUCCGAAGAUGCUACAGUUGUUUUACAGUCCUAGCAAUGAUUACCUGGAGUCCCUUUUUUCACAGGUGACCCUAUGUUUUGUAGGAUUAUACUCUUUAAUUGGUGCUGGGAGGGGACAACUGGUAUUUUUUAAAUAUAGAUCAUUAGUGUUUAAUAUAACAGUUUUUAAUAAGAUAGAAUGUUUGUGUUCCAGUGGUCUAAUCAUCAUUCUCAUCUAUUCACAACCAAAUAAUAUCAUUUUCUCAUUUACUUGAUUGAAUGGAUGAUGAUAUAUUGAUUGCUUUGAUUGGGUUUGAAAGAUGACAAAAAAAUUAAAU